CUGACAGAAGAGAGUGAGCACACAGCGGUGAUUGCAUCGAUCUGAUGCCGUUCCUGUUGCGUGCUCAUUUCUCUUUCUGUCAG
This 83-nucleotide microRNA precursor is filed under the name Musa acuminata subsp. malaccensis (wild Malaysian banana). Its description in RNAcentral is "mir-156 microRNA precursor family". It matches the Rfam family "mir-156 microRNA precursor family". Rfam says of the family: This family represents the plant microRNA (miRNA) precursor mir-156. Animal miRNAs are transcribed as ~70nt precursors and subsequently processed by the Dicer enzyme to give a ~22nt product. The record is from Rfam by way of RNAcentral. Lineage: Eukaryota; Viridiplantae; Streptophyta; Magnoliopsida; Zingiberales; Musaceae.